This 5912-nucleotide long non-coding RNA is filed under the name Citrus x clementina. RNAcentral's name for it is "Citrus clementina (C. clementina) long non-coding RNA (CCLE_LNC006425)". The record is from RNAcentral. Lineage: Eukaryota; Viridiplantae; Streptophyta; Magnoliopsida; Sapindales; Rutaceae.
UAAGAAUAUAAUAUAUUUAAGUACAAGGGCAUUUUGAGUUAUAUUUUAAAAUAUAGGACUAACGAAUACUUAAGUCAAAAUAUAGAGAAUAAACAAGUAUUUACCCAUGAAUUAUGCCAUAAUAGUUUAUACAAAAUAAGUUUUUACAGUUGUUUAUAGCACUAUUAUUACUCUUUGGUAUUAAGGAAAUGUGGGUUUCAAAGGAAACUACAACUAACUACGGCUAACAUUCUAAGACCCAAAAUGGUAAAGAGUUCCUUAGUGAAAGCCUGUGAGGUGAUCACUUGACCAUUUGAAAGUCUCGUAGACUUAGACAAAAUGAUGAAAAGAUUUUUUGUUUACAUUUGCAACUAUUUUUGUAUUAUGUUUAUGUGUUGAGUAGAUCUUGAUGAAUGGAAAGUACGCUUUGAAGUGUGAAUUGUUUGAUUGAUUUCGAUGAUCAUUUGGUUUGUUUUGGAUUGACUUGUAUAUGUAUGAAUUUUUGUUAUUGAUUGAUUUGCAUCAUCAUCAUGUAUGAAAUUAGCUUAUAUGACUAUUUGUUCUUACGGAUCUGAUCACUUGUUCUAUUAAAUUAUGAUUAUGGCUUAUCUUGAUAACUAUCUUGGAUUCAUUGAUCUAUUGAUAUUAUGAACUUAUGCUUUUCUUAAGUCUUGAUGAUGUAAAAAUGGGGAGAAGAAAUGUGUAUUUUGAAUGUGUGUUUCCCCUUGACUCUUGAUGGUUAUACUUGAUAUGUUUAAUAUGUCCACACUUGAUAAAGUUUGACCCUAUGAGUUCAACAAUUGAUGAAAAUGCAUAUUUAGACUUUUUUGACUUUUUUUAUGCAUUAAUGUCUUGUUUCCUUUUGAUUAUGUCAAAAGUGGGAGAGAGAUAUAUGUAUUUUGAUAUAUUAAUGCAUUUGAGAUUAUUUUAGUUGAAUUCAAGUGUCACGUUAAUCUUUGUUGAGGUUAUUUAUCUUGAUUUCUUAAAUAUGAUUAUGGACUACUACUUAAAUUACUUUUUAAUGAUGAUGUCCAAAGGGGAAGAUAAAGGAUGUAUUUUGAUAUGAUCAAGAACUUACAUGCUUAAUAAGAUGAGAUCAUCUUGAAUACUUGUGUGCUUAAUAAAAUGAGAUAAUUUUGAAGAGUGCUUGUAUGCUUGAUGACAUUAUAAUGAAGUGAUUUAAUUAGGGUUAUUUCUUGAUUCAUUAACCUUGAGCUUCUUGUAAUGCUUUUAAUGUUUUGACAUUUCAUAAAGCCCAUAUCACACAUAAGGGGCACAUUUUAUGGAUGUCAAAAUUUUAUUUUAUAAAAAAUUAUCAAAAUCUAUCAAAACACAUUAAGUGUUUGUCAUCAUUAAAAAUGAGGAGAUUAUUGACCCAAAAGGUCUAAGAAACUUUAAUUUUAAUGAUAAUAAAUAGUACGGUAAGCGUAAUAUGGGAAAAAUAUUUUUGAAUCUCAUUAGUUCUUGAAAGUUAAAAGUAAUUCAUGUGAGAUUAAGUUCAAAUUACUCAAGGACAUUUUCAUCAAGUCAAUACUCAAAUGUGAAGAACAUUAGCUCAGAUCAUGUUUCAUUUUCAUAAUUCUUGUAAAGAUAGUUUAUUGGAAUUAUGCACGAUUAAGCACUUAAAGCUCAAAUUUAUAAUGAUCAUGGCAUUUAAUUCUAUCUUUAUUUUCAUAAAUUAUGUUUUUAAUCUUUGUUUUCAUAAAUUAUGUUUUUAUUCUUGAAAAAAAAUGGAAGCUAAAUAUUUUAUCAAUAUGAAUUUCUUCUAAGUAUAUGGAUUGAUUUGAAAAGAUGUUGAAAAGUUUUGAUAUAUCGAAAAAUAUGGAGAGUUUACAUAGUCUUAAUGCCAUUUCUAUAAUCUUUAAAAAAAAACUAUUUGAUAAUGUUUUAAUUUUUUUGGGUAUUUUUGUAAUUACAAAAAGUUUGCAAACAUGGACCAAAUGCAAAGCCUUUAAAAAGCAAAUUUGUUUGUUAUUAUUAAAUAUCUAGUGAAUAAUUGGCUAAUCAAUUUACCUAAAGGAAUAAUUGGCUAAUCAAUUUACCUAAAGGAAUAAUUGGCUAAUCAAUUUACCUAAAGCAACAGACUAGUUUGUUUGAAAUCCUUUAACAAUAACUAGCCACAUCAUUAAAAUGGUCAAUCAGUUUGAUUAAAGCGAUAAACUGGUUUCACAUAGAAUUUUUAUUUUAUGCUUUAGAUGGCUAGUUUUUUUAUUUAUCUAUAUAAAACUAACUCCAAAUCAUUUUCUAAGGUCAAUCUGAGUUAAAACUUGAUAUUUCUAAGCACUUCUGAGCUUUUACUUAUUCUUACUUGAGCUAUCAUUUGCAUAUAUACUCAUGUGAGAAGUAUGUUCUUUAGAAACUUCAUCUCAAUCUUUCAAUUAAGUGAUUGUAAUUAUGAGAAAGAUUUGGGCGAAAAGGCGAGGAAUGUACACCUCAUUGUGAAGGCAUAUUGACACCUUAAGUCAAUUGUAAUUUUUGGAGCCUCAUGAUAUAAGGCUCGUUUUAAUAGAAUCUUCAAGAUUGGAUAGCUUGGAGGCAUAUACAUAAGCUGAUUGCUGAGCCGUGUAAAAAUUUGGUGUAUUUAUUUUUCUCAACUAUUAUCUUUUAAUUUACUUCUUUUUGUGGUUAUUGUUGGUAUUGUUUGGUGGUAGUUGUUGGUAUUGGAUUAUGGUUAUAAUAAAUGGAGAAACUUUAAAACCCAAUUCAUCAGUCCCUCCACCUCCCCCCAUAGGUGGUUUCGCUAGAAUUUCAAAUAUAAAGUAUGAAAUGGGGUGGCUUGAAAAGUUUGUUUAAAGAAUAAUUUAUCCAAAUGUCUAAUUAAAUUUUCUUUCAAAACAAGGAAAGAAUUAAUUUAUAUUUGGCUAUUUAAGUUUAUUUCAAUUAAAAAAGAGUUUCAAGAGGGAUUUUGAUGGGUGCCAAAAGGUUAUUUUUCUUUAUACUUUGGCUUUGCUUGCUGUGGUUAUAUUGUAUAUUACAUGAAAAGAGGAAAAAAAAGAAAGAGUAUGGUUGCAUUUAUUUAUUUAUUUUUUGUCUGAAAUCUAAUUAGGCCCGAAUGCAAAUAUCUAAAUGACAUAUUUAUUUUCUUUUUUCAAUGUCAAGCAGAAAAAUCUAAAAGUCGGUAUUUUGAUAUAAAUAUUCUUUUAAGUUGUACAUAUAUUUGUUCUUUUCAUUUUAGAAAUUUAACAAAUUGAUUAGUUUUGAUAGGAUUAAAAAAAUACUACUAUCAUGGUUUCUUAUUUUGGUUUUAUAAUAAAGGAUGUAAUUAUAACAUCAACCAUCUGAAGUCAACACCACUUUUUUUUUUAAGUUUUGAUAUUCGUGGCAAUGGACACAAUUCAUCUCUAGAAGCUUUACAAUAUGUGCCAAUUUGUUUAAUAUUUUGACUUAGUUAAUGUUAUCAUGCCGAAUAAAAGAAUUAAAACAAUUAAAAGAAAAAGUACUUUUAAUGAUGAUACAAAAAUAUUAGGUUUAUACAUAAUUUAGCAAACAUAUGAAUUGUUAAUGGUGUUUUGGAGAUUUGAAAUUAAAAUUUUCUUUUCAAAUUUUAGAAUUCAAAUAAAAGAGGAUUUUUUUUUUCAACUUUUUCUAUUCAGUUAAAAAUGUCACAUAAUAAGUAAUAAAUUAAAAAAACACAAAAUAAGUAAAUAUUUGAAAAAAAAUUAAAUUUAAUCUUCAAACUAAAAAACCAAACAAUAGCUAGAUACUCUUUUAAUUCUUAGGAUUUGAUCAAAUUGCCUAGUUUAUUAAUGUCUUUUUAAGAUUUAUCCAAAGCAAGUAUAUCAUUACAUAUUUUCAUUGAAAUCUGUUUAAUUAUUCUUUGUUUUUUUUUCGGAUACCUUUGUGUAAGACUCACUUAAAUUUUAGUUAUAUACAAGUAGGGGUGGGCAAAAUCGGGUUCGGAUCGGAUUCAGAUCAACCCGAUCGGGUUUCGAGUUGAUCGGGUUGGAUGAAAAUUCAUCCGAACUCAAUCUGAACUUAAAACCCGACCCGAUCCGAUCUGAAUAUAAUUCGGAUCGGAUCGGGUUAUAAAUUCGGGUUAAGUUCGGAUCGGAUCGGAUGCGGGUUGGAUGCGGUUCGGGUUAGAUUUGAAUCAAUUUGGGACUAUUCGGGUCGGGUACAAUUCAAAAAUAGAUAAUUACCUAUUAUUAACAACCACCAAAUACCAAUUAAACAUUAAUCUUUCACACAUUAUAUAUAAUAUACAUCUAUAGCAUCACUGUCAAAGGCUCUAAGCUUCCAAAACCCAAAGUCAACAGCCAAAAUUCGGGUCGCAACUUACCGGGUUCGAAUGGGUGUUGCCGAGUUCGAAUAGACCUUGAAUCAGAUUGGAUAAUGGUGAAGGAUUAGAGACAUGGAGGUGGCGCAACAAAUCCGGUACUUCGUAGCAGUAGAUUGGCUUCGGUUGGUGUCGAAUCUUGCGUCUGGCGUUGGAUCUCGGCUUUGGUUGGCGUCAGCUUUGGUUGUGUGUGUGUUUGUGUUUCGUUUAUUUGAGGGAGGCUGGGGGUUGGCUGUCGGCAGUGGGAUGCGAGCGAGGGAGGCUGUGGGUGGUGGGUGAGUGACCGUGUAUGUGGGUUGGCUGUCGGCAGUGGGCUGUUGCUGCUGCCGUGCUGCUUGUGCUGUUGUUAAUGUGUUAUUUGUGUGUGUCUGCCCGAUUUGUGUUUGACUUGUGUUUGUGUGUAUUGCGUAUGUAAUUAUGUAUUGUGAAAUGUGAAUAUGUUGUUUGUGUGUGGCGUGUGUUUAGAUUUAGGUUUUUUUUUUUAAAGCAACCCGAUCGGGUUUUCGGAUCGGGUUUGAUCUGAUCCAAUGGCAACCUGAUCGGGUUUCACCAUUUUCAUCCGAUCGGGUUUCCUUUAUAACCCGAUCCAAUCCAAACCCGAAAUUUUUCGGAUCGGAUUGGAUCGGGUAUUUUGCCCACUCCUAUAUACAAGGAUAAAGACUCAGUACUGAACUGAAUUCUUACUGAGCACUGAAUCAAUAGUUGUUACUUGUUAGAUAAGAUAACUUAAAAAAUAAAAAUUUUAAAACAAUUUUAAUCAUUGAUUUAGUGCUCAGCAAAAACUUAACUUAGCACUAAAUCCUAAUUUUAUAUACAAACAUACUAUUUUAUCCUUGAAAAGUUAGAUCCAAGAGUCAUAAACUAACAAAAUGACGAUUUGGAUAACCUUUUAAAAUACAAGAUGUAAAUUUGUGAGGUAUUUCAAAAUAUUCAUAUUAUUCCAAAUUGACAAAACCCAUAUAGUCUUAAGACAUGUACACACAGGCUUGGGCCCAUUUCUUAGCCACUUUAAUGAAAACUAUACACAUAAAUCAAUUAGUCGAACUAAUUUGACUCGGUCAAGCCGCAUAUCCACAUGUGAACAGCAGUGGCUUGAUAUUAGCACUGCAAUUGCUUGAUAUCAGGUUUUAAAUUAGUUUGAAGCACUGAUUUUUGGGGAAAAAAUCAAUGAGAUGGUUGUUGUAAUUCAAGAUUAUAAAAAGCAAGCUAUGACUGAUUGGCGAUAGGCAAAAAGAUUUCUUUUCUUCCUCUUCUUCUGCAUCAAAUCCCUUACACUUUACUAGAAAAUACACGAAGCUAGCUAUUUGGAGCAAUUGUAGUUUGGAAUACUCCAUUACAGUUGUAACUGUAAUGCCAUUGAAUCUUAAAAGAUCAUACUAUCUUUAAUUAUUUUACACACCCGAAAAUCAUUGGAAAAGAGUCAGAAUCUGUUCUUUAAGGACAGUGCUCUGUGGGCACACCUUCGCUUCUUAAUUUCAUCACUUUCUGUGUUUUGUGUCAAUUAAUUUAACUGUUUUGCUGCUCCUGAGUUUAUCAGUUGGCUUUUUUGAAGAUUUGCUGAAUUGGGAACAAGCGAAGUUGACUUGCAGCCAAAUGUUGUAUCAAACUUGUUGGCUUGGAAUUUGAGUUCAAUUUGGCUUGUUAAUUUCUUAUUNNN